ACCCUAACUGAGAGCAUUUAUU
RNAcentral lists this microRNA (22 nucleotides) under Sarcophilus harrisii (Tasmanian devil). RNAcentral describes it as "Sha-Mir-430-o10_5p (mature (co-guide))". Lineage: Eukaryota; Metazoa; Chordata; Mammalia; Dasyuromorphia; Dasyuridae. The record is from RNAcentral.